UACGUAGGUGGCAAGCGUUGUCCGGAUUUACUGGGCGUAAAGGGCGUGCAGGCGGUUUGUUAAGUCUAGGGUGAAAGCUCCCGGCUCAACUGGGAGAGGUCCUUGGAUACUGGCAGACUUGAGGAGGGUAGAGGAGAGUGGAAUUCCCGGUGUAGUGGUGAUAUGCGUAGAUAUCGGGAGGAACACCAGUGGCGAAGGCGGCUCUCUGGGCCCUACCUGACGCUGAGACGCGAAAGCGUGGGGAGUGAACCGG
RNAcentral lists this ribosomal RNA (253 nucleotides) under uncultured bacterium. Its description in RNAcentral is "partial 16S ribosomal RNA". It matches the Rfam family "Bacterial small subunit ribosomal RNA", at positions 524 to 776 of the family's 1533-position model. The record is from RNAcentral.